GAAACCUCUCAACCAUCCUUUGAGGUGGCUUGGAAAUGGGGGAUUGUUGCAGGCUGAAGUCUGCUCCCCUGAAAUGCAUUAGUGGUGUCUGGGCUAACCAACCACAGGUGUGAUAACUAUCAAUGCCUUGGUGGAAACCUUGCUGCUUCCAACUCUCAUAUGACCA
Molecule: unclassified non-coding RNA, 166 nt
Filed under: uncultured Inocybe
Lineage: Eukaryota; Fungi; Basidiomycota; Agaricomycetes; Agaricales; Cortinariaceae
Description: sequence contains ITS2
Source: RNAcentral